CUGGUUUUUACAGUGAUUUCCAGACAGAGUUAACAUCUGAGAUCAUUGUGAAAGCCGAUU
RNAcentral lists this microRNA precursor (60 nucleotides) under Limulus polyphemus (Atlantic horseshoe crab). Lineage: Eukaryota; Metazoa; Arthropoda; Merostomata; Xiphosura; Limulidae. The record is from RNAcentral.